UACAGAGGUCUCAAGCGUUGUUCGGAUUUAUUGGGCGUAAAGGGUGCGUAGGCUGCGGGGUAAGUUGGAUGUGAAACGCCAUGGCUUAACCAUGGCACGGCAUUCAAUACUGCCCCGCUAGAGCGCUAGUGAGGAGACUGGAAUUUACGGUGUAGCAGUGAAAUGCGUAGAUAUCGUAAGGAACAUCAGUGGCGAAGGCGAGUCUCUAGAUAGCAUGCUGACGCUGAGGCACGAAAGCCAGGGGAGCAAACGGG
This 254-nucleotide ribosomal RNA is filed under the name uncultured bacterium. RNAcentral describes it as "partial 16S ribosomal RNA". It matches the Rfam family "Bacterial small subunit ribosomal RNA", at positions 524 to 776 of the family's 1533-position model. The record is from RNAcentral.